CACUGUUUCAGUUUCUCUCUUCUUUUACUCUCAUACCAUCGCUUCCCUUCCUCUCUUACCUUCACCUUCAAUUUCAAACAAAGAAAACCUUCAGCCAUCGCGCCGCCAUGCCUCCGACGGCAGUCGCGACAGCUCUAAACACAAAAACCAACGCAGAGAUGGUGAAUCUCCACAGCAGCGAUGAAGAAGACGACGGCGGCGGCGCCACACCUAGGAAAUGGGUUAAAUGAGGCGAAUAUGAAAGGGGUCGAUUGGAAAUCCUAACGGAAAAUCUCCAAAAAAUCAAGGAUUCCGCGAUGUGAAGAGCGAAUUGAGCAACAACAACCUUCAAUAUGCGGAAGUGACUGUGGUGAGCCGCGGUGGAAAGCUUUUCAGUGGCUAUGAUGAUGAAUCUGUUGUAGAAUAUAGGGAUGAAGAUGAAGAUAUGUUGAUUCGUUGAAGCCUCUUGAAGACGUGAAUAUGAUGAAACAAAUGUUGCGGUUCUGAGAUGAUUAGAUUAUGGAGAGAAGCAUCAAAGAAUUUGCAGAAGAUAGAGAGCGAUGAAGGUUCUGCAGUUUUAAGAUUCAAAGAAUGAUGAUGAAGAUCUUGUAGAGAAUAGGGAGAGUUUUCUUGUUAUAUGUUCUGUUAAGCUCUUGUUGGCAUUGGAUGUAGGGUGAGAUUGUUGGAAAACAAUAUAGCAGUAGGGCGGGGAGUCAUAGAUAAGUCCAUGUUAACUUGAUUGUUAUGUUUUUAUGCUACUUUGUAUACAAUAAUUCAUAAGUCAUCCUUGGAUUUACAUGUAAAUGAAAAAUAUUAUUUUACAUUUUCACCUGUGAUGCAAGUUUACCAAUGUAUGCAUUUAUUAAUUAAUGUGUUUCUUCUUACAGUACCGAGGAGGUGGCUUUCAGUUCCAAUGGUGGAAAGGAUUCACCGGUUCGAUUGACAAAGAAAUUGGCUCUAACUCAACUCGUCGUAGUUGCACGUCGACACCGCGAUUUAGAAAAUAGGUGUUUCUGAUGGAGAUACGACAGUGAACCUAAGCAUGACUGGACUAGUUUGAUUGCGAACUAUGUCUGCAGAUUAGAGAUUUUGUUGCAGAAAAUAUGUCUCUGAGAGGUAUUGAAUUCCAUACUGAGGAGUCUCCCGUAGCUAUCACUAAGGCAGCUGAUGGUUCACCUCUUUAAAGACCAACAGGACGUGCACCUAAUAUCAUGUUUGCCACAAGGUACUGAGGAGUCUCUCAUAUCAUGUUUGCCACAGGACGUGCACCUAAUACUAAGAGUCUCCUAGAUGGCUUGUAAGUAAUAAAUUGGUCUUAAUAUGGAUGAUACAAGAACAAGAAAAAGAGUCCAUAGCAGAAGGAUGAUCGUAAAAUCCUGAAGCGUUGGAAGUGGAGCUGUGUACUGAUGGAUGAGGCACGUGCUUUAAAGGACAAAAAUAGCUUUAGGUGGAAAAAUCUGAUGUCUGUUGCUCGAAAUGCGAACCAACGCUUGAUGCUGACAGGGACACCUCUUCAAAAUGACUUACAUUGUAUUGUGAUGAAUGAGAACACACUCUUAGAUGGAAGCACCGGGCCACGAGUCAAAAUUUGCGACUUUGGCUACUCAAAGGAACAAGAAAAUUUGUGAUGGACUUGUUGAUUUCUCAGCACUCCAAGCAACAUGUGGAAGGCCUUUAGGGUUGGGUUUCAACCAUCAAACGGGUGAUUUGUAUGUAGCUGAUGCUUAUUUUGGGCUUGACUCUUUUAGGGUUGGGCUUCUAUGCCCUCGAUUUUUAAACAUGAUUUUAAGUAUGGGAUGACUCUUUUUUGAGAGAAACUUGUGUUUAAUUUAGCUCUUGUUUUGGAUCCCAAGGUUGUUUUGAAUUUUGAAUUUGGGAUGACAUCAAAACUUAGUAUCCAACUAUUAUUAGUGGCACUACAAAAAAAACUUACUUUUGACCUUAAUGUUAAUUUGCUUGUAAUUAA
Molecule: RNA transcript, 1945 nt
Organism: Vicia villosa (hairy vetch)
Lineage: Eukaryota; Viridiplantae; Streptophyta; Magnoliopsida; Fabales; Fabaceae
Gene name: helicase SWR1-like
Exons: 10
Source: RefSeq, a predicted model, not a curated record